AUUUAAUAGGAAAAGCUCCAGAGAGUAAUGGGUGGACAUUGGAUGAGAACCAAUAUCAAUUUUACUGGUUCGAUGGCGAUCAGUUACCAAGUUUUAAGAUUCGAACAAAGAUAACGAUGAUGACGACUUGAAUAUUGAAAUCCAGGAUUGCUUCGAAGAUGAAAGUCAAAACUCAUAUGAAGCUAACUAUGAAGAUUAAGA
Molecule: long non-coding RNA, 201 nt
Organism: Danaus plexippus (monarch butterfly)
Lineage: Eukaryota; Metazoa; Arthropoda; Insecta; Lepidoptera; Nymphalidae
Exons: 3
Source: RefSeq, a predicted model, not a curated record